Brassica rapa (field mustard) is the source of this 3124-nucleotide long non-coding RNA. RefSeq lists it as uncharacterized. The record is from RefSeq and is a predicted model, not a curated record. Lineage: Eukaryota; Viridiplantae; Streptophyta; Magnoliopsida; Brassicales; Brassicaceae.
UAAUAUAUAAUCACCACUUUUACAGUAACCUAAAACCAAACGCAUGUCCAUUGAUAAAUCUAUCAAUCGUCAAAUUCCUCUGUAUAUACAGUGGUAAAGUCAUAGAACCUUCUCUCUGUUUCUCCUAUUUCUUUUUAUGAUGAAUCACAUGGAGAAAUAUACCGUCCCCGGAUUAUGCGAUAUAUCCAUCUGAAAUUGCAUGAUCAUCGAACGUGAGCUUCUAAUUCUUGAUGAACAGAACAAGUUGCAGAGUUUAGAUUUUGGCUGGACAAGACUAAGAUGUCCUUCAGCCAUGGAGAGUGUAGAGGUUUUAAGAGAGAUCCACGGGAGUCAAUCUUCCAGCUACACAUUCUUUCUUCUCUAGAGAAACAACUGCUUAUCAUUCAUUGUUCCUGAUAUUGAUCACUCUCUUUUGUUUUUCUUUGUUUAUGGUAUGUGCAGGUUGCAGAGUUUAAAUGCCUCCUCAAGUCCUCAGUAUUAAGCCAACACCAAAGAUUGAAUACUUAUGUGUGCCUGUUAUAAGCCAUGACAGAACUCUAAAGCGUUAAUGCUACAACCGUUUGGUCACAGUGCACCAGCAUUGGAAUGAUCCUAGGGUCACUGUGGUUCUUGCGGGGAAAUUUGGUGCUGUGGAAUAGUGUCUUACAGGUUCUCAUCAAAUACAACAUCGUAUCACCAAGUUCAGCAAGACAAACAUUGAUGAUUGCUAGCAUCUUUCUCUCUGAAAGAUUAAUAUAGUUUUUAUAAAUUAAUAUUUUUUGUCGGUCAAACUUGAGUCGGUUUAAAAUUUGACACAAAUCAAUAAAAUAAUAAGAUAAUAUAUUUUUAAAAAACAUUAUAUGUAAAUGUAUGGUCCCAAUAAAAUUAUAAAUUAAUAAUUUAUAUGUAUACAUAUUUUAUAUAAGUAAGAACCUAUUAUUAUAUUGUUUGUUUUAUAUUCACAAUAAAAAUAUCUUUAUAUUUCUUAACACUUAAUAUAUCUUUGAUUAAAUUUAGUAGUAUUAUAUCUAAAACCACAUUUACGUUCUAUGCAAUAUAUAUUAUAUGCACCAAAUAAUAUAAAUAUCAUUUAAAAAAAAUAAAAAAUUAAUGUCUAUACACUAAUGUCAAAUAUUUUUCUUAUCUUAGAAUAAAUAUAUCUUAUAAUAAAAAAUAUAAUUAAUGAAAAAAUUGUAAAUGAAUAUCUCUAUAAAUUAAUAAAAUUUUAAAGUCCCAACGUUAUUAAUUUAUAGAGGUUUUACUGUAUGUCCCAAAACGCUUUUUGCGAGCUUUUUUGAGCAAAACACUAUCUAUUUGUAUUUAAUUGGUAAGUAAUAAAGCGGGUUAUGAAAUAAAAACUUAUGUGUUAUAUUGAGGAAAUCUCUAAGAAUAAAAUUCUUUCUUUACUAAAUAAAAAUAGAAGAACAUUGAAUAUAAAGUUAAUAUUAUAUAGUAUAUUAAACUUUGGAAACAAACCCAGAGGGUUAAAUGAAAAUAGAAAAAAUAAGCAUAACAAAUUAAAAAAUAUAUUAAAAUUUGUUCCCAUGUAUUAUUUGUGUGAUAAAAUUUCAACAUUUUAACUAAAACCACUGAUAAAUUUGUAAACCUUUAUAAGGUUCAAAUGCAAAUUUGAAAAAUAAAGAAUAAAAAUGAUUACAUCAAAAAGUUAUAAAAUAACUCAAUUUAUUGUCAUCGUAUUUGUUAUGUUAAUUGUGUUAUUUUACAUAUAAUGUAAAUCUGCUUUACAGUGACAUAAGUUUUAUGACACAAUUGAAAAAAUAUACCUAUAUUAAAAUUUGGAAAUACUACAAAAUAUUCAAUUUAAAUUAGUAAUGAAUAAACUGUUCCAAAUUUAGUUACAAUUCAUAUAUUACACAAUUUUUAAUAUAUAAAUAAAACAAAUUGAAAAUAUGUAAUCCGCGCGUAGCGCAAAAAUUAGCUCUAGUUUAAAUAAUAACUCUUUAACAAACAGAACUCCUUCAUGGUAAUUCAAAUAUGCCAACUUAAACUCGUAAUUACUAGUGUAUACACUACUGAAGAUGUUUCAUUAUUUGCCUUACUUAAGAAACCAAAACAAUUAUAUAUAUUGAUAUCACCAUCAUCAUACAUUUAUAGUAUUUUCCUUAAAUUAAAAGAAAAAAUCAUUCACAUAUUUGAUUUUGGUUUGCACAAAAAUAUACAUGCCAAAGCUUUUGAAUAAUAUUAGAAACUUUUUUUUAAAGAAAAACAUUAGAAUAUGCAACAUGAACGAUGAUCAUAAAUUUAACAUGGGUUUAUUCCUUUCGUUGUAAUAAAAGGUUUUAUUUUCUUUCUGAAAGCAAAAGCUUAUUGCUUUCUCCAUCGGAAUAUUUACAUGUUAGAAAGUGAGAUACAACUAAACCUUACACACAGUAUUCGCUAAUGGCGACUUAUAUCAAGUAAAAUUGGACUGAAACUUUAUGCUGAGAAUAUUUCCUUUUGAGAUUUGCAAGUAAUUUUUUUUCCUUUCCAUCACGAAUAUACAUAAAAUACUAUAUACGAAAACUUUAGUUUCAAGAUGGCGUAUGGAAUUUUUCAACUCAGUGAAUGUAAACGCAAGUUGUGAUUUGGCUAGUGCAUCUACUUCUAGUAAAUUAGCGGAGUAACGUUAGACAACGUUUGUUUGUUUGGUGAACCGACCAAUAUGUGGUUCUUAAUCUACCAAACGCCAUUUCAACUAAUUAGGCCACUUAUUUUUUAAUUUCGAAUCAUCAAAUUAUAUUUUACUCAAAAAAGAGAUAAUAGAAGAUGAUAUAACGUUGUAUGCUGCAAUUCACUAAAAACAAACGUAGCUAUCUUUUUCAGUGCACAAGCUUUUUAAUUCACAAGUACUAAGCAAGUGCCAGCCAUGGCCAGAUCUAAAUCUCCAAAUCAUGUUACCGGUUGACAUUGAGUACAAAAGUUCUUUUAUUCAUCAACUGAAAACAUCGUAUAGUAGUUUGUACCAACAAAACAAAUAGUUGAUUCAUCCCAAGAAAAGAAAAUCAAGAUGCAACAAAAAAUCUCCGGAAUGAAUAUCGUUGUAGGGAUAUUUAGUUAAGUCAUUAUUGCACAUUUCUUCCUCAUUGUCCAGAAGGCAGCAUAGUAUCGGUUCUGCAAACAAAAUAAACCCAAAAAAAUAAAUCGA